Microcebus murinus (gray mouse lemur) is the source of this 766-nucleotide non-coding RNA. The record is from RefSeq and is a predicted model, not a curated record. Lineage: Eukaryota; Metazoa; Chordata; Mammalia; Primates; Cheirogaleidae.
AAAGAUAGUACACUGUCCUUCCAGAAUGCUUUCGGAAACCUUGAACUUUUGCCAUGACAAAAUUGUCACAGUGACUCUCUAAUCCUAAACACAUAGUGUCAGAAAAUGUCUUCUACUCUCUGGAACCUCAGAAAUGGUGGAUCAGACAAGAACUGGCAAAGAUUUGGAGAGGUCGGUCUUCUCUUAUCCCAUUCUCUCUCAGCCAAGAACUUGAGGUUCAUGAAGACCAGGAUAUUUAAUGGCACUGUCCACUGCUGUGUACAGUUUUUGGCACAAAGUGCCUACAGGAUAAAUGGAUGCUCUUGACCAUGAAGCUGCAAUAUUCACCUGGCCCAGUUGCUGGAGAAGCUGAAAGGGGAGAUCUGGAAGGAGCUGGGGGAGUUUGGGGCCUACUCCAACAACAGGGUAAACCAGGAGAUCAGCAACAACAGGCAUAAGCUGCAAAAGCUCCUGAACUCACACUUUCUAGAAUUCACCUUUCUAUAACAAAUGUGAGUGCUGCUUUCCUGUCAUCUUUUAAUUAUAUGCAGAUUUCAAAUAUAUGCAGAUUCCAAGUUCCAAUUCUAACUUGGAAAACUAUAUGGAACACAAAUGUGGGAAAUGGAGUUUCAGUUAAGCCAAACUAACACACAAGAAAGCAACAAUAUUUCAUGUAAUUUUGUAAUUUUAAUGUAUGUGUCCUUUAAAUUGUGGACUUUGAAUUAAUAAUGAAAUUUCAGGUUGUGGAAUGUUAUCUUAUGAUUUUGAAUACAUCCUAGAACUUUAC